GACGAACGCUGGCGGCGUGCUUAAUACAUGCAAGUCGACCGAAGCAAUGAUAGCAUUGUCCCUGUGGCGGUAGCGCCCGAGGGAGUAACACCAAGUUAAUCAGCCAUCAGGACUGGCGUAACUCCGGGAAAACAGCGCUAAUAACAGAUGAUACAGCAUCUCGACAUAGAGACAGUUAGUAAAGGAAUGUCGUCUGAUGAUGUGCCUAUGUGUGAUUAGCUAGUUAGCUGGGUAACGGCGCACCAAGGCAACGAUCAGUAGCUGGUCUGGGAGGAUGAUCAGGCACACUGGAACUGAGACACGGUCCAGAGGCCGACGGCAGUCAGCAGUAUGGAAUAUUGCUCGAAGGGAGAAAGCCUGAAGCAGCAACGAGGCAUGAGGGACUAAGGGCUUUAGCUUGUAGACCUCUGUGGUGAGAGAAAAAAAUCCCAAUCUUUGGGGCAUGAUGGUAUCUCAAAAGUAAGCCCCGGCUAACUACGUUC
RNAcentral lists this ribosomal RNA (482 nucleotides) under uncultured bacterium. RNAcentral's name for it is "partial 16S ribosomal RNA". It matches the Rfam family "Bacterial small subunit ribosomal RNA", at positions 28 to 508 of the family's 1533-position model. The record is from RNAcentral.